RNAcentral lists this ribosomal RNA (195 nucleotides) under uncultured Gammaproteobacteria bacterium. RNAcentral's name for it is "partial 16S ribosomal RNA". It matches the Rfam family "Bacterial small subunit ribosomal RNA", at positions 337 to 524 of the family's 1533-position model. Lineage: Bacteria; Pseudomonadati; Pseudomonadota; Gammaproteobacteria. The record is from RNAcentral.
UCCUACGGGAGGCAGCAGUGGGGAAUCUUGCACAAUGGAGGAAACUCUGAUGCAGCGAUGCCGCGUGAGUGAAGAAGGCCCUAGGGUUGUAAAGCACUUUUAGUAGUGAGGAAGGCUCAGCAGUUAAUACCUGCUGGGAUUGACGUUAGCUACAGAAAAAGCACCGGCUAAUUUCGUGCCAGCAGCCGCGGUAAU